This 58-nucleotide transfer RNA is filed under the name Trioceros melleri (Meller's chameleon). RNAcentral describes it as "tRNA-Ser specifying AGY codons". The record is from RNAcentral. Lineage: Eukaryota; Metazoa; Chordata; Lepidosauria; Squamata; Chamaeleonidae.
GAAAGGAAAACAAGAACUGCUAAUUCCAACUACUGGUACUAACUCAUCAGGCCUUUCA